RNAcentral lists this ribosomal RNA (450 nucleotides) under uncultured bacterium. RNAcentral's name for it is "partial 16S ribosomal RNA". It matches the Rfam family "Bacterial small subunit ribosomal RNA", at positions 338 to 795 of the family's 1533-position model. The record is from RNAcentral.
CCUACGGGUGGCUGCAGUCGAGAAUCUUCGGCAAUGGGCGCAAGCCUGACCGAGCGACGCCGCGUGUGGGAUGAAGGCCUUCGGGUUGUAAACCACUGUUAGAGGGGAUGAAAUGCAGGUGGGUUCUCCCAUCUGUUUGACAUAGCCUCAGAGGAAGGACGGGCUAAGUUCGUGCCAGCAGCCGCGGUAAGACGAACCGUCCAAACGUUAUUCGGAAAAGGGGGGCUAGAAGGCGGCGCAGGCGGCGCGGGAAAUACCUCGGCUCAACCGAGGAACUGCGCCCAAAACUGCCGUGAUCGAGGAAGAUAGAGGUGAGCGGAACUUAGGGUGGAGCGGUGAAAUGCGUUGAUAUCCUAAGGAACACCGGUGGCGAAAGCGGCUCACUGGAUCUUUUCUGACGCUGAGGCACGAAAGCUAGGGUAGCGAACGGGAUUAGAUACCCUGGUAGUC